Molecule: long non-coding RNA, 2935 nt
Organism: Tigriopus californicus
Lineage: Eukaryota; Metazoa; Arthropoda; Copepoda; Harpacticoida; Harpacticidae
Exons: 2
Source: RefSeq, a predicted model, not a curated record
CCCAAACCUUCCAAUCCAUCACCUAUCGCAAGUUUCCGAAUGACCCAGAAAUGAUACGAAAGUGGAUUCAAGUUAUUCCAAGAAAAGAUUAGACUCCUUCCUUUUCCUUCUUCCAAAGUAUGUUCACUGCGCACUUCUUGCCCCAAGACUUUGUUACCAAUAGUCAACAUUAUCUGCCAUCCAGGAGAAAAAAGAGAACCUAUCAAGACGAAGGCGUCCUCUCUCGAAGACGUCUCAAAGCCAGUGCUUAUCCCACCCAAUUCCCUAAUACCAAACCGUACCUUUCAAGGACGCCCGUGGCGGCUAGACAUGAAACUUCGUCGAUUUCGGCUCGAUUUCGGCUCGAUUGGAGCGAGAACAGCGAGCUCAGAAUUUGGCCAUUUCCGAGUUUUUUCAAGCAGAUCAAUUCACGUCGUUGAAAGAGCUUGAUGAGCGUAUAGACUGAUCAGCGCUGCCGCUUGGCUUGUCCGAAGUUCGCCGUGGAAGUUCUCAUACGUUUCUCUGCUUCAAUGAUCAAGCUGAUGGAAGCCUCGAAAUAUUCUUUCAACUUUCCAUCCUUCAGGAUUCAACCUUUGUAAUGAAAAUGGGUGACAUGAUUGUACCGAAGAAAAUUGUCUCGCAUGUGACUACCGAUGACAAAUUAACAAGUUGUUCUGCAAUUGGAAACGUCCUGAUUGCCCUGAAAGUCUAUGCGGAAGAAUUCGAUCAAAAUCCUCAAUGCAUUGAAAAUGUUGUUUCGGAUUUCAAACGGAAAAUUUCACAAUUGUCCAUUUCUGAUGACCGAGCACCAAAAUUCCAAUUUCUGUUGGAACAACUGGACCUAGCUCUCCAUCGAUCCAAAAAACAACGCCGAUACUCUUUAGACUUAUUAGCAUCAAGUUACCUGUGUUUGGUUACGUCUCCUGCUCUUUAUCGACAUCUCAUCAGCAAUAACAUCCUCUGAUCCCGCAUAUCAAGGAAUUAACAAGACCAAUGGACACCCAGACUGGCCUCAGUGAUAGGAACGGUGUAUAUUUUAAGUAAAGGCUAAAAAGUCUAAAUGAUAGAGAGAAGCUGAUGGUGCUAAUGGCGGACGAAAUUUACUGCGCUUAAAGAGCAGAGUUUGUCGGUGGCAGCUUCUUUGGAUUGAUGGACAAAAAAUAUGUGAAGACUGUCCUUGUGUUCAUGAUAAAGUUCAUUACUGGAAAGUUCAGCGACACUGUUGCCCUCUAUCCUAUGACCACCUUAGACUCAAAAACCAUGAAGACGACCACCAUGGAAGUCUUCAAGUCCUUGCACAGUUUAGGCUGUAAGGUACUCGUGAUGUCCGUGGAUAUCGCCAGCGCCAACCGAAAGCUCUACUCCCACGAGUUUUGCCAGGGCAAUCUUCAAACAUCAGUUCCUCAUCCCUUUGACCCAGAACAGCCUUUGUUCCUUUCAUUUGACGCAGUUCAUUGCUUCAAAAAUUUGAGAAAUAAUUUUGCAACCAGAAAAAAUGCUCAGUGCCCAAUGCUUGAAGGUGAUGGAGUUCUUCAACCAACCUUUCUUCAUCUCGAGGAGCUUUAUAACCUUGAAAAAGGAAGGCCUUUAAAGAUGGCCUAUAAACUCAAUCACGAGGUGCUCUAUCCAACAGCAAUUGAGAAGACCAAUGCUCAGCUUGCCGAUAGUGUCUUUCAUGACUCUACUAUAAGUGCUUUUGAGUUCUUUGUUGACUAAUGGAGAAAAACCUGCUUGGAAGGACUGUGGAUUUACUAAAGAUUGUGCGACAUUGUGAAGACACCCCACCAAGGCUUUCGGAAAAGAGACGUUAGAAAAGUACCAAUUUUGGACAAGAAUAGUGACAAUUUGACCUUUCUGAGGCAUUUCGAAUCUUGGUUGAACAAGUGGGACGCCCUUGAAGCUUCCAAAAAGACAAAAUCAGGUCUAACCCGAGAGACUCUACUUGCCACAAGACAAACUACAAAAGUGCUCAUUGAGAUCGCAGACUAUUUACUGGACAAAGAAAACUUCUCUUACGUUCUCCCUGGCCAAUUGCAAUCUGAUGUCAUUAAAUCAUGCUUCAGUUGGAUUCGGCAACUAGGAGGGGGAAAUUAUUUCCUCUCUAUUCGGUAGGUCCUUGAAGCUGAGAAGUCAAUAAAGUUGCGCUCUCUUGUCUGAUACUCAAAGUGCUCUAUUCAAGAUCUGAAGGAUGUGUUUGUAGACAUUGCUGCUAUCGAAAAAAAAUUGAGGAACGUGGCACUCAACUCGAAACUUUGGUUCCCGAGACCGGCCGAGAUGUAUCCAAGAAUGAGGACCGGAACAUCAUGUUUUAUGUGGCAGGCUACUUUGGAUAAUCCCUGUCCAAAAAGACCAAAUGUGAAGAGUGUAAGGAGCUGUUUGCCAAGUCUCGUACCCUGAGUGUGACCUUUGGAAGCUACCAACCAAAGUGAUAAAAUGCUUCAAUCGGCCUUCUUGGAGCAAGUCAAUCGCGGAGGUUUCGUGCAUCCGAGUGAUAUUUUAUUCGCUUUUUGUCUUGUCAUUUGGAACUUUUAUCGGGAAUUGGAAGAAACGGAGGCAGCCAACAAUGCCUUAUGUCAACACAACACCAGCGUGAAGUGUUUGCUUUGAGUUUUGAGUUUUAUGAAGAAAUUGGAGCAAAAUGACGAGCUUUGGAAUGGAUUUCAGAGCCAGUGCACCAAUGAACAUGCCUUCAUUAACAGCGGAAGUGAAAUUGCCCGGAGACUUUUCAACUUCUUCUCAAAAAACCUUUGUGCUGAGGAGAAUUCCAAGGUUUAUGCUAGCAAAAAGAGAGGCCCCACAGACGGUACGGGUGGCCGAAAGAUUGCUAAAUUACAAUCUACGAACUCGUAGGAAGAGAGAAAAGGAGUCUCAAUAUUGUAUGUUUGUUUUAAUUGAGACUUUAACCAGAAUGUAUAGGCGCUUUAAUAUGUUAUUGUAUAAUAGAAUAUAUCUUUUA